Colossoma macropomum (tambaqui) is the source of this 272-nucleotide long non-coding RNA. RefSeq lists it as uncharacterized. The record is from RefSeq and is a predicted model, not a curated record. Lineage: Eukaryota; Metazoa; Chordata; Actinopteri; Characiformes; Serrasalmidae. The transcript is spliced from 3 exons.
CAGUGACUGAUUCUCAGCUGACCUCAGUACAGCUGUGGCUCGGCCAUAGACUGAACUGCCCACUCGGUGCAUCUCUGUACGAGACGCUACAGCCCUGAGUACCAGAGUGACUUUGACUUCUUGAGAUGUUCAGGGUGCUGCAAAUGACUCGACGCCCUCUUGCAAAGAGGUUCAGCCUCCUUGUAUUUGCCACGUUUGCCGUAGAGCACCGCCAGGUUGUUGAGGGUGGCAGCCACAGCAGGGUGGUCCUUCCCCAGGGUCUUCUCCCGGAU